Molecule: ribosomal RNA, 317 nt
Filed under: uncultured bacterium
Lineage: Bacteria
Description: bacterial SSU rRNA
Rfam family: Bacterial small subunit ribosomal RNA
Source: RNAcentral
GAUAAACGCUGGCGGCGCACAUAAGACAUGCAAGUCGAACGGACUUAAUCGAAAUAUUUAUAUUUUGAAGCGGUUAGUGGCGGACUGGUGAGUAACGCGUAAGGAACCUACCUAUUAGAGGGGAAUAACAGUGAGAAAUCAUUGCUAAUACCGCAUAUGCCAUAGAUAUCACAUGAUAACAGUGGGAAAGGAGCAAUCCGCUAAUAGAUGGCCUUGCGUCUGAUUAGAUAGUUGGUGGUGUAAUGGACCACCAAGGCGAUGAUCAGUAGCUGGUUUGAGAGGAUGAUCAGCCACAAUGGGACUGAGACACGGCCCAU